AUGCUGGAGGUAUCAGAAGUGCGAAUGCUGACAUAAGUAACGAUAAAGCGGGUGAAAAGCCCGCUCGCCGGAAGACCAAGGGUUCCUGUCCAACGUUAAUCGGGGCAGGGUGAGUCGACCCCUAAGGCGAGGCCGAAAGGCGUAGUCGAUGGGAAACAGGUUAAUAUUCCUGUACUUGGUGUUACUGCGAAGGGGGGACGGAGAAGGCUAUGUUGGCCGGGCGACGGUUGUCCCGGUUUAAGCGUGUAGGCUGGUUUUCCAGGCAAAUCCGGAAAAUCAAGGCUGAGGCGUGAUGACGAGGCACUACGGUGCUGAAGCAACAAAUGCCCUGCUUCCAGGAAAAGCCUCUAAGCAUCAGGUAACAUCAAAUCGUACCCCAAACCGACACAGGUGGUCAGGUAGAGAAUACCAAGGCGCUUGAGAGAACUCGGGUGAAGGAACUAGGCAAAAUGGUGCCGUAACUUCGGGAGAAGGCACGCUGAUAUGUAGGUGAAGUCCCUCGCGGAUGGAGCUGAAAUCAGUCGAAGAUACCAGCUGGCUGCAACUGUUUAUUAAAAACACAGCACUGUGCAAACACGAAAGUGGACGUAUACGGUGUGACGCCUGCCCGGUGCCGGAAGGUUAAUUGAUGGGGUUAGCGGUAACGCGAAGCUCUUGAUCGAAGCCCCGGUAAACGGCGGCCGUAACUAUAACGGUCCUAAGGUAGCGAAAUUCCUUGUCGGGUAAGUUCCGACCUGCACGAAUGGCGUAAUGAUGGCCAGGCUGUCUCCACCCGAGACUCAGUGAAAUUGAACUCGCUGUGAAGAUGCAGUGUACCCGCGGCAAGACGGAAAGACCCCGUGAACCUUUACUAUAGCUUGACACUGAACAUUGAGCCUUGAUGUGUAGGAUAGGUGGGAGGCUUUGAAGUGUGGACGCCAGUCUGCAUGGAGCCGGCCUUGAAAUACCACCCUUUAAUGUUUGAUGUUCUAACGUUGGCCCCUGACCGGGGUUGCGGACAGUGUCUGGUGGGUAGUUUGACUGGGGCGGUCUCCUCCUAAAGAGUAACGGAGGAGCACGAAGGUUGGCUAAUCCUGGUCGGACAUCAGGAGGUUAGUGCAAUGGCAUAAGCCAGCUUGACUGCGAGCGUGACGGCGCGAGCAGGUGCGAAAGCAGGUCAUAGUGAUCCGGUGGUUCUGAAUGGAAGGGCCAUCGCUCAACGGAUAAAAGGUACUCCGGGGAUAACAGGCUGAUACCGCCCAAGAGUUCAUAUCGACGGCGGUGUUUGGCACCUCGAUGUCGGCUCAUCACAUCCUGGGGCUGAAGUAGGUCCCAAGGGUAUGGCUGUUCGCCAUUUAAAGUGGUACGCGAGCUGGGUUUAGAACGUCGUGAGACAGUUCGGUCCCUAUCUGCCGUGGGCGCUGGAGAACUGAGGGGGGCUGCUCCUAGUACGAGAGGACCGGAGUGGACGCAUCACUGGUGUUCGGGUUGUCAUGCCAAUGGCACUGCCCGGUAGCUAAAUGCGGAAGAGAUAAGUGCUGAAAGCAUCUAAGCACGAAACUUGCCCCGAGAUGAGUUCUCCCUGACUCCUUGAGAGUCCUGAAGGAACGUUGAAGACGACGACGUUGAUAGGCCGGGUGUGUAAGCGCAGCGAUGCGUUGAGCUAACCGGUACUAAUGAACCGUGAGGCUUAACCUUACAACGCCGAAGGUGUUU
Molecule: ribosomal RNA, 1695 nt
Filed under: Escherichia coli
Lineage: Bacteria; Pseudomonadati; Pseudomonadota; Gammaproteobacteria; Enterobacterales; Enterobacteriaceae
Description: partial 23S ribosomal RNA
Rfam family: Bacterial large subunit ribosomal RNA
Source: RNAcentral